Paramuricea clavata is the source of this 132-nucleotide non-coding RNA. The record is from the annotation of a GenBank genome assembly. NCBI's taxonomy places the organism in Eukaryota, Metazoa, Cnidaria, Anthozoa, Malacalcyonacea, Plexauridae.
GAUUGAGGAUAGAGUCACGCGUUAAAAGAUCAAUUUUUAGGGUGUGCUAUUUCCUCAAAAAUUAAAUUUUGGUUUUCAAAUUCGCUGGAACUAACUUUUGUGUUUUUUCCAGUCACCAGAAUAACCAACAUC